CAUAGGCACUGAGUAAGCUUAGGAAGCUACUCUCAUUUCCAGGUGUUGUAUAGAAGAAAGACAUGUUUCCCGCGGCCACCUUAUUUUUUAAUACCCUUGCAGCAUCACUAAGGGCUGGCCACAGUGGUUCGAUCGCGAGUUGACAGCCCCGACUACCAAAGAUGUUUUGUCAAGGAAACAUCGUUUUUGACCUUACAGCAGCGUGCUGAAAGGGCUUAAGCGUGUGUCUUAUUAGGAUUUUGCAUGGACUUCCGGCUGAAUACUUAGAAGAAGCACACAUUAUUUUAUUUUAUUUUUUAAGCACGAGCUGCUUGUAGCAUGAAGAUGUAUGCAUGAUCCCCUUAAACAAGAGUUGUCGUUAAUGCGUUAAGCCUUCAGGAACAUGAAUUGGAGAGCCAGUGCCGUAAGCUAUGAGACCUUCUCCUUGACAAAUAAGCGAUUGAGAAUGGCGCUCGGUGCAUGGUGGAAACAUCGAAAGGAUCAUCUAAUAGUGCUUCUUCUUUUCUGUUUUAGUCAUACACCGUGAUCUAAUUGAGGCUGCAUUUCUUUGUUGUAGGGGCUGGCUGGCUCAGUGUGUAGUAGCUUUUCCUUUUGAAACUGUAGGGUGUAUCGAUCUUUAGCAUAGUUGACUGCAUUUGGGCUCGAGUUGUACCCCUUUUGUUUGGAGAGCCUAAAGCUCAUGUUGUUGGAAACUUGGAACACAACAUUGUUGCAUACUUUCUGUCAUAACUUUUGAUGUAAAAUGCUUGAGAUGUUGAGCUUCGGCCUGUUUUGUACGCUUUGCUCGGUUGGAAACAAUGAAAUGCAUGAAUUGUUGCAAUU
Molecule: long non-coding RNA, 822 nt
Organism: Prunus persica (peach)
Lineage: Eukaryota; Viridiplantae; Streptophyta; Magnoliopsida; Rosales; Rosaceae
Exons: 2
Source: RefSeq, a predicted model, not a curated record